CCUACGGGUGGCAGCAGUGAGGAAUAUUGGUCAAUGGGCGCAAGCCUGAACCAGCCAAGUAGCGUGAGGGAAGACUGCCCUAUGGGUUGUAAACCUCUUUUGUCAGGGAGUAAUUGGAGCUACGUGUAGCGUUAUCGAGAGGACCUGAAGAUAAAGAACCGGCAAACUCCGUGCCAGCAGCCGCGGUAAUAGGGAGGGUGCAAGCGUUACUCGGAAUAAUUGGGUGUAAAGGGCGCGUAGGGGGGUUAGCAAGUCAGUUGUGAAAUUCUAUGGCUUAACCAUAGAACUGCAUUUGAAACUGGUAGUCUAGAGUAUGGUUGAGGUAGGUGGAAUUCGUGGUGUAGCGGUGAAAUCCGUAGAGAUCAAGAAGAAUUCUCAUUGCGAAGGCGACCUGCUAGACCAUCACUGACGCUGAUGCGCGAAAGCGUGGGUAGCAAACAGGAUUAGAUACCCUUGUAGUC
This 461-nucleotide ribosomal RNA is filed under the name uncultured bacterium. RNAcentral describes it as "partial 16S ribosomal RNA". It matches the Rfam family "Bacterial small subunit ribosomal RNA", at positions 338 to 795 of the family's 1533-position model. The record is from RNAcentral.